Molecule: small nucleolar RNA, 138 nt
Filed under: Ornithorhynchus anatinus (platypus)
Lineage: Eukaryota; Metazoa; Chordata; Mammalia; Monotremata; Ornithorhynchidae
Source: RNAcentral
CACCUCUCAGGGUCCCACCUGGAGAGUUUCCAGGACUCUACCAGUCUCGACUAUGAGAGGGAGAGUCAAGCAGUGGCAUAUCCAUUCCAUUCCUAGCUUGGGCAGUGGCCAGCAAGUGGAAGGCAAUCUGCUACAAUU